This 630-nucleotide ribosomal RNA is filed under the name Pseudoalteromonas sp. TG8-01. RNAcentral's name for it is "bacterial SSU rRNA". It matches the Rfam family "Bacterial small subunit ribosomal RNA", at positions 20 to 642 of the family's 1533-position model. The record is from RNAcentral. Lineage: Bacteria; Pseudomonadati; Pseudomonadota; Gammaproteobacteria; Alteromonadales; Pseudoalteromonadaceae.
GGGCUUANGAUUUAAACCGCGGGGGGCCAGGCUUAACACCNUGCAWGUCKAGCGGUAAANGAGAGGGUGCUUGCNCCUUUGCUGACNAGCGGCGGACGGGUGAGUAAUGCUUGGGAACAUGCCUUGAGGUGGGGGACAACAGUGGAAACGACUGCUAAUACCGCAUAAUGUCUACGACCAAAGGGGGCUUCGGCUCUCGCCUUUAGAUUGGCCCAAGUGGGAUWAGCUAGUUGGUGAGGUAAUGGCUCACCAAGGCGACGAUCCCUAGCUUGGUUUGAGAGGAUGAUCAGCCACACUGGGACUGAGACACGGCCCAGACUCUACGGAGGCAGCAGUGGGGAAUAUUGCACAAUGGGCGCAAGCCUGAUGCAGCCAUGCCGCGUGUGUGAAGAAGGNCUUCGGGUUGUAAAGCACUUUCAGUCAGGAGGAAAGGUUAGUAGUUAAUACCUGCUAGCUGUGACGUUACUGACAGAAGAAGCACCGGCUAACUCCGUGCCAGCAGCCGCGGUAAUACGGAGGGUGCGAGCGUUAAUCGGAAUUACUGGGCGUAAAGCGUACGCAGGCGGUUUGUUAAGCGAGAUGUGAAAGCCCUGGGCUCAACCUGGGAACUGCAUUUCGAACUGGCAAACU